This is a long non-coding RNA of Acanthopagrus latus (yellowfin seabream), 331 nucleotides long. RefSeq lists it as uncharacterized. The transcript has 3 exons. The record is from RefSeq and is a predicted model, not a curated record. NCBI's taxonomy places the organism in Eukaryota, Metazoa, Chordata, Actinopteri, Spariformes, Sparidae.
GAAUCAAUGGGAGCGAACGGAGACGAGUACACAUCCUGCUGAGAGCCGACGCCAGAGUCAGGACUCAACAGCGUAGGAGUGAACACAGCACGACAGUAAAUGUUUGGACGGUGUGUUCGGGUGCCGCCGUAAAACUGGAGUUUCCCUCUCAGCUGCUCUGACGGUCGGACACUGAGCUCAGUGUUGGAGGCUCAGAGCCUCCUACUGUCUGCAUCCAGAUGGACAGGAAGAAACCCCGGGUCAAGCUGCUGACUUUUCCACCCCGGCUUUGAAGUGAGAAGCUCCAGAGGAGAAAAGAGGAGCACUUUGAUGUGAGCGUUAGAUUAAGAUG